CCAUUCUUUGCUAAACCAUAUGCUUCCAUAUUACACUCCCUAAACACAUAGACAAAUCUACAAUUCAAAUUCUCACAGCAAUCCAACCAUUCAACUAUACAAAUAACGAAAUCUCCAUGGGUACUCAGUUUUCUCCAAUAUCCAAUGAAUAAUAUUCAAUGAAUCUCCUUCUAUUAUAAUUGGUUUCUCAAAUCUGCUAAUCAAUUUAACACCAGCCAAGACAGCAAUUAAUUCAACUUCAUUAGAAGUAGCAACACCAAUUGGACCAAAGAAUUCAAGUAAAACAAUAUCGUUAUCAUCUCUUACUAUACCACCAAUCCCUACUAGACCAGGAUUACUAAGUGAACUUCCAUUAAAGUUCAACUUAAUCGACCAUUCUUCAGGUUUAGACCAUAAACCCAUCAUGAUUUUCAUAUUUGU
This 420-nucleotide long non-coding RNA is filed under the name Amborella trichopoda. Its description in RNAcentral is "long non-coding RNA (ATRI_LNC001663)". Lineage: Eukaryota; Viridiplantae; Streptophyta; Magnoliopsida; Amborellales; Amborellaceae. The record is from RNAcentral.